Malus domestica (apple) is the source of this 3535-nucleotide long non-coding RNA. RefSeq lists it as uncharacterized. Lineage: Eukaryota; Viridiplantae; Streptophyta; Magnoliopsida; Rosales; Rosaceae. The record is from RefSeq and is a predicted model, not a curated record.
AGGUUGUAAAAGGCUUAUUUAAGGACAUCUUUUUAUCAAUUAAUCAAAUUAUCCUUUCGGAUUUCUAUCAACUGGUGGACUCUAGUAAACUUUGUUCUACAAGGAUUACGCUGGUAACCUUUCUUUGCUUCGUGCUGCGUCAUCAGUUUGACAAGGUAACAAAGGAGAUACUAUACAGAGGCAGGAGUAAGCCAAAUAAGCUAUUUCAGAUUCCUGUGUAUUAGGGAGAAUGACAAGUCAUCAAAUAUAGUUACUGUUAAAUAGUUUGUUAAAGCUAAAUGUAAUCAGUUUUGUUAGUAACUGUAGUUAGUCAAGGUAGUUGAGGGUAUUCUUGUAAUUAGCCUAAGGCAGCUAAGGCUAUAUAUAUUCACAUCUGUACAACUGAAUUAUUGAUUCAAUACAAUCAAGAAAACUUACUGUUGAAGUUUUCUGUUUCUAUACUGUGUUCAAACAGUUUCAGAUUCCUGUGCAGUGUGCAACUUCUUCAGCUUUUCUUGGGCAAAUGAUCAAGUCUUCUGUGUGGCAUAAGAUGUUAGGCCACCCCACUAAAAUAAGUCUCAGCUUAGUUCUAUAGUUGAUAAGCAAUGUAGUAUCUGUUUUGAUUGUAUAAAUGGAAAAAUGUCCCGGUUACCUUUUCCUACUGAGUCCACUAGGUGUUUAGUACCUUUUGAGAGGAUCCAUAUUGAUAUUUGGGGUCCUUCACCAGUAAAGUCUAUUGAAGGGUUUAGGUAUUAUGUAACCUUUGUGGAUGAUUGUACUAAGUUUGUAUGGAUUUUUCCAUUAUUCAAUAAAUUAGAUGUUUUUGCCAUUUUUGUGAAGUUCUAUACUUUUAUAUUAGUUCAGUUUGGCGGUUUUGUUAAAUGUUUACAAUCUGAUGGUGGUGCGGAGUUUGUUAGUAAACAAUUUCAGCAGUUUUGAGUUCUAAAGGCAUUUUUCAUAGGAUUUCUUGUCCUUAUACUCCUCAACAAAAUGGAUUUGUUGAGAGGCGCAAUAGACAUAUUGUGGAAACUGCUAUUACUCUUAUGUCUGUUGUUGGUUUGUCACAAGUCUUUUGGUACCAUGCUUGUGCACAUGCAGUUUAUCUCAUUAAUAUGAUGCCUUUUAGAUCUCUUCAAAUGUCUUCUCCUUUCUUCAAGUUAUAUAAGAAGUCUCCAACUUUGGGACAUUUGAAAAUAUUUGGGUCUACUGUCUAUCCUUAUUACAGGCCCUAUACCAAUAAUAAACUUCACCAUAGGACUCUAUUAUGUGUCUUUUUGGGUUAUGUUGUUGGUUAUAAGGGGGUUAUUUGCUAUAGUUUGGCAACCAAGAGAUUAUACAUAUCCAGGCAUAUGAUUCAUGAUGAGCAUAUGUUUUCUGCAAAGCUGUCUAGUUCUUUAGUUAUUUCUUCCUCCAUCAGUUCAGAUUCCAAAUUGCAUCCUCCUUUGGUUGUUACACUACCACAAGUUACUUCACAAGGUACAGGGGGAUUCACCAAUGUCUUCUGGUUUAUCUGGUUCUUCAUCAUAGGAAUCUGAAUCUUUAAUAGCUCGUUCCAAUGCUACUCCUCCUCUUUCACCUGAGUUGUUACCUGUCCUUGUUUCCACUCAGCAUUAGGUACUUUUACCUUUUGGGAGCAGCCUCUCCAUAAAUGGGGGUAAGGCUAGCCGACAUUCACCUCUCCCAGACCCUGCGUAAAGCGGGAGCCUUGUGCACUGGGUACGACGACUUAGCUGCUUCAUCUUUACCUCCGAUUUUGUUCUUGAGCCCUUAGAACUGCACUCAUUGUCUAUUAAUGAUACUGAUGUUAGCUAUGCUGGUUAUUCCUUUGUGGCUAACAUUUUUCAUAUGGAGGAACCAAAGACAUUUCGCAUUGCAUCUCAGAAUUCAUUAUGGAAGCAAGCUAUGCGAGAUGAGUUUAAUGCUCUUAAAUCUCAAGGUACUUAGGUUUUGGUACCACUUCCUCCCAACCGUUCUGUUGUAGGAUGUAAGUGGGUUUAUGAAGUCAAAACAAAUUCUGGUGGCACGAUUGCACGCCACAAAGCACGACUAGUUGCUCAAGGCUGACUCAAGAACAAGGUCUUAAUUACUUUGAAACCUUCAGUCCAGUUGUUCGACACUCUACAGUGAGGCUUAUUUUGGCUUUGGCCACUUCUCAACGCUGGUCUCUUCACCAGUUAGACAUUAAAAAUGCCUUUCUUCAUGGAGAAUUACAUGAGGAAAUUUAUAUGCGGCAACCUCCGGGAUUUGUGGAUCCUUGUCAUCCUUUUCAUGUUUGUAGGCUUGUCAAGUUCAUUGUAUGGUCUCAAACAGGCUCCUUGAGCCUGGCAUCACAAAUUUACUGGAGUUUUACCUUCCUUGGGUUUUCAAAUGUCUUCUUCAGAUGAUAGUUUAUUUGUGAAACAUGAUGGGACUCAUAUUGUUGUUCUGCUAUUAUACAUUGAUGAUAUUAUCAUUACGGGUUCUACUAAUGAUCAGGUUCAGCUUAUAAUUGAUCAACUUGGUGAAUAUUUUGAUCUUAAGGACAUGGGUGCUCUUAUAUAUUUUCAUGGUCUUCAUAUUUCGUAUCAAGCAAAUGGGGAUUUGUUUGUGAAUCAAACCAAUUAUGCUAAGGAGCUUCUUAAGAAAGCAGGUAUGGAACAUUGUAAACCUGUAUCUACUCUGUAUAGAAGUCUGAACGCACUCCUUUAGCUGAUCCCACUUUGUAUAGAAGUCUUGUCGGUGCACUGCAGUAUCUCACAUUUACCAUACCCGAUAUUUCUCAUGCCGUCAAUGUUGUCUGUCAGUUUAUGAGUCAACCGACUGAUUCUCAUUUUUUCUUGGUCAAAAGAAUUCUCCGAUACAUUCAAGGGUCUUUGCAGUGUGGAUUGGCGUAUAAAUCUACUUCUGAUACUUCUUUAACAGCCUAUUCUGACUCUGAUUGGGCUACGGAUAUUAAUACUCGUUGGUCUAUUACCGGUUAUGUGGUGUUCUUUGGAUCAAAUCAUGUGUCUUGGCAAUCUAAAAGACAAUCUUCAGUUUCCUGGAGCUCCACUAAAGCUAAAUAUAAGGCCCUUGCUCAUUGUGCAGCAUAUGUGUGUUGGUUGAGAAAUAUACUGUGUGACUUGUAUGUCGUUGUUCCUUCUCCACCUCUCUUACAUUGUGACAAUCUUUUUACUCUUGCUCUGAGUACUAAUCAUGUUUUUCACCCUCGGAUUAAGCAUCUCGACACGGACUAUCAUUUUGUUUGUGAGAAAGUUCAAAAGGGUGAUUUGUUGGUGCAAUAUAUUCCUACCAAGGCUCAGCUUGCGGAUGUGUUUACCAGGGGUCUUCAUAGUCCAGAUUUCAUUCGCCAUUAUUCCAAUCUUAACCUUGGUGCUCCUGGUUAAGAUUGAGGGGGGGUAAUAAUAGAGAUGUUGCCAUAUGUCAGUUUAUCAUUUGUACACUUGUCACUUGUAGAUUGAUUUCUUAAUAUGUAAUCUUAGUAGUAGCAUACUUAAGAAGCUAAGAUUGGAAAAUGUAUAUAUAGCUACUGUGCUUUGUUUUUCAGUCGAUUAAUAAAAGUUUUCCCACUUUACAA